UUUCCAGACUCCUACGGGAGGCAGCAGUGGGGAAUCUUCCGCAAUGGGCGCAAGCCUGACGGAGCAAUGCCGCGUGAACGAAGAAGGUCUUCGGAUUGUAAAGUUCUGUCCUUAUCGAAGAGAGGGUAUAGAGUGAAAAAUGAUAUACUAGGACGGUAGAUGAGGAGGACGCCCCGGCUAACUACGUGCCAGCAGCCGCGGUAAUACGUAGGGGGCAAGCGUUGUUCGGAAUGACUGGGCGUAAAGGGUGUGUAGGCGGUGUAGCAAGUUAGAAGUGAAAUACCUAGAGCUUAACUCAGGUGCUGCUUCUAAAACUGCUAUACUUGAGUGCAGUAGAGGAAAGUGGAAUUCCUAGUGUAGCGGUGGAAUGCGUAGAUAUUAGGAGGAACAUCAGUGGCGAAGGCGACUUUCUGGACUGUAACUGACGCUGAGGCACGAAAGUGUGGGGAGCAAACAGGAUUAGAUACCCCAGUA
RNAcentral lists this ribosomal RNA (474 nucleotides) under uncultured bacterium. Its description in RNAcentral is "bacterial SSU rRNA". It matches the Rfam family "Bacterial small subunit ribosomal RNA", at positions 328 to 792 of the family's 1533-position model. The record is from RNAcentral.